Molecule: long non-coding RNA, 1090 nt
Filed under: Sus scrofa (pig)
Lineage: Eukaryota; Metazoa; Chordata; Mammalia; Artiodactyla; Suidae
Description: lncRNA (ENSSSCG00070019879.1)
Source: RNAcentral
GCUCUCCUUUUCAGGGAACAGGGCUUGAGAAGCAAGGACUUAAAAGAUGGGUAGGACUUAAAAAGGGCACUUCAGUUGCAAAUGAAGGUCUAUCUGCCGGAACACUGGCCAUUCCACAGGACAGGUGACCACAAGAUCACUUUACAGCUUGGGAAUCGACAACCUACCAGACCACGUGGUCUCCAGCUCUCCAGAUCCAGCCACACUCACGGCCAACUGCUGCUUUAAAGUGUCCCUUCUUAUUUCUGUGGGUAUGUUACUGGGUCUUUCGGGUCACUCACCCACUAGACCACCUCCCCCUCCAGAGGGGUCCCCUGCCCCCCUAGAAAUUUGGUGGCUUGACAGUGCAGUGUGCUUUUUAGACAACUAGUUAAAACAGGAACAAGAACCCCCACAAGACACCCAUCUUCUGACUACUCAUGGAUAGAGAAGUUCAGCUUAUGCACAAAAGAAUCACACCAAUGAAGUUUUUCAACCUUUAUUAAUAUGUCAUCUAUUUUUAAAAAUAGUGAGACUGCUCCAAACAACAGAUGCAUGAGAGAUACCUGAAAAUUAAAAGGGCAAAGUAAUUACACUAGAUUCCUGUGAAAAUACAAACACAAACCAGUUUAGGACAACAAAUUCAAUCAAGAGGUAUAGUAUAGUUUGAAGCUACUUCUACUUCCCCUAACUUCAUCUGAAGAAAAAGGAGGAAAACGGAAAGGCAGAAGUAAAAGUCAAGCAAAGACGCCGCAGGGAUUUGAACCCUGUCCUGGAAGCCAGGAGUGCCAACCACCAGCAUCUUUUGCUUUUUUUUUUAAAGCUAGGUAAAGGCCAAAAAGCAAAACCUGAGAAAACAAAGUAUUUUGUUUUCUCAGGAAAAGAAAAACCUUUAAAUUUUAAGACCCUACUGAAGAGCACUGGAGAAUCUGCUUCAGCUAAGAUGCUAGCUUGGCCAAGUCUGUUAUGUUCACCUGAAAAAGUCUUAGCAGAGAGUUUUUGCAUUCCCACCCAACAGCCCUCAACUGCUAAAAUGCCUAUCUCCUUCAGUUUGUUUUCAGCACUGGACAGAAAUAAUGCUACACAUUUAAAACAUCUGAGAGCUUUUUAG